CACGUGUUCGACUGUAGUUCUAUCUCUCUUCUUCCUCUCUCGGCCAUUUUUGGGGGACUCGAAAACUUGCUGAGAAAAAGAUGUACCGGUGCCGGCAAGUAGUCUCUCAAUGUUCGUCGACCAUCAAGUCAAAUCUUGGACAUGGCAGACAACGAUAUGCUGGCGAAAGUACUACUAAAAGGUUUGGCUCCGACCAUGGCUACAGCAAAACUCCAGCAAUCAAGCCGCCCACGUUGAAUGAGAUGCCCACACCCAAGGGUUCGUGGGCAACAGAACAUUCCCGUCAGCAGUCCAAGUACAAUAUGCACUUGGCUGCAGGACUGGGCUUUACUGCAUUCACACUUUUUGUGGGCUAUCAAUCAGGUUCAUUCUACCUGAACUAUGGACCUGAUGUAAAAAAUACAAAGGUAAGUGUGCUCAGUCAUGAGCAGGUCCGUGAGAGAGCGGCUGCCGCUGCUGCUUCAGCAGUUGUUGCUGAAGAGUCUGAUCCAGAAGUGUUGGCAGCUGGAGUAGAGGAGACUGCUCCAGUAGAAGCUGUUGUAGUCGAAGAUGCAUCUCCAGAAGCUGCUGAAGAGGUUGCACCACCAGUAGUUGAGGAAGUCACUCCAGUUGCCGUACCUGAUGCUGAAGCUGUUGCAGAACCAAGCAGAGAUCAAACAGGACCCUCUGACCAGUCAGAAGUAGCGCCUUCCGUAGUUGCAAUCGUCGGAGAUCUACCCGUCCAUAUUCCUUAUCUAUUAAUCGGAGCCGGGACUUCUUCAUUCGCCGCCUUUCGUGCCAUAAAAUCCCGUGACCCUAAAGCGAAGGUCUUGGUCAUUGGUGAAGAAAAUCACUUGCCUUACAUGAGGCCACCACUAUCGAAAGAACUGUGGUUCAGUGACGAUCCUGAAGUGUCAAACAAACUUAAGUUUAAGCAGUGGAACGGUAAAGAACGAAGUCUAUUCUUCGAACAGGAUGAAUUCUACUGCAGUCCUGUUGAAUUGGUUGCCAAAGAUAAUGGUGGCGUUUCAGUUGUGCGAGGACAUCGUGUUGUUAAACUGGACAUUGUCGGUCGUAAAGCUGAGUUAGAUGACGGUCGCAGCAUCACCUACGAUAAGUGCCUUAUUGCCACAGGUGGUAAACCGAAAUCAUUGCCGUCGCUGAGCAGUGCUCCGGAAAAUGUCCAGGAUCACGUGACACUAUUCCGCAACAUUGAUGACUUCCGGCGACUCGAGUCUAUAUCUCGCCAAGUCAAAUCUAUCACGAUCAUCGGUGGUGGAUUCCUCGGCAGUGAACUUGCAUGUGCUCUUGGAAGAAGAGCCAAAACUAGUGGACUGGAAGUACUUCAAGUCUUUCCAGAAGAUGGUAACAUGGGCAAAGUUCUCCCGAAAUACUUGAGCCAAUGGACGACCGAGAAGGUGAAGGGUGAGGGUGUUCAGGUUUUGCCCAGGACGCACGUCGAGGGAGCAACCAUGGACGAUGAUAAGGUCGUUUUGACCUUGCAGGAUGGGCAAAAGAUUAAAACCGAUCAUGUUGUGGUUGCUGUUGGUCUGGACGCAAACACGGAUUUGGCUGUCGCCUCAGGUUUGGAAAUCGACCCCACGUUUGGUGGUUACCGAGUCAACGCCGAGCUUGAAGCGCGGUCUAACGUCUGGGUGGCUGGUGAUGCUGCCUGCUUUUACGAUAUUAAAUUGGGCCGUCGACGUGUUGAACAUCAUGAUCACGCUGUCGUGUCUGGUCGACUAGUGGGCGAGAACAUGACCGGGGCUGGCAAACCAUACUGGCACCAGUCCAUGUUUUGGUCAGACUUGGGACCGCAUGUUGGCUACGAAGCCAUUGGUAUCGUAGACUCGUCAUUGGAAACGAUGGCUGUUUUUGCCAAAUCGACCGCCGCUGACACCCCGAAAGCUGUUGUCGAAGCCACUGGCGAGGGUGUUCGAUCAGAAACGGAAAAUGCUGCCACAGAACAAUCUUCCAUGAAAGAAUCGAACAAACUUCACGCACCAGUCCAGGGUGAACAUUAUGGCAAAGGAAUCGUCUUUUACACGAGGAAUGACGUUGUGGUCGGUAUGGUCCUCUGGAACGUAUUCAACAAGAUUCCCGUCGCUCGCAGGAUUUUGAAGGAAGGCUUGACGACCGACAAGCUCGCUGAAGCGGCCAAACUCUUCGAUUUACACGAGUGAACUGGUUUCAAUUGCUGAUUGUUAUUCACUUUUGAACCCGCCAGUUGUAUAGUACGAUGGACGAAAUACAGUUAGUGGAGAUCCGAA
This 2249-nucleotide unclassified non-coding RNA is filed under the name Daphnia magna. Its description in RNAcentral is "apoptosis-inducing factor 1, mitochondrial, transcript variant X4". Lineage: Eukaryota; Metazoa; Arthropoda; Branchiopoda; Diplostraca; Daphniidae. The record is from RNAcentral.